This 74-nucleotide transfer RNA is filed under the name Zingiber officinale. It matches the Rfam family "tRNA". Rfam says of the family: Transfer RNA (tRNA) molecules are approximately 80 nucleotides in length. Lineage: Eukaryota; Viridiplantae; Streptophyta; Magnoliopsida; Zingiberales; Zingiberaceae. The record is from Rfam by way of RNAcentral.
CGCGGGGUAGAGUAAUGGGUCAACUCAUCAGGCUCAUGACCUGAAGACUGCAGGUUCGAAUCCUGUCCCCGCCU